Molecule: ribosomal RNA, 112 nt
Filed under: human oral metagenome
Source: RNAcentral
CGGUGAUAAUAGCAUGGAGGAUCCACCUGUACCCAUCUCGAACACAGAAGUUAAGCUCCAUAGCGCCUAUGAUACUUGGCGGGCAGCCGCUUGGGAAAGCAGGUCAUUGCCG